UACUAUAUCCCGUACAGCAGAAGCCCCUGGUGCAGCUCCUCAGGUACUAUAUCCAGUAGAGCAGAAGCCCCUGGUGCAGCUCCUCAGGUAUUAUAUCCAGUAGAGCAGAAGCCCCUGGUGCAGCUCCUCAGGUAUUAUAUCCAGUAGAGCAGAAGCCCCUGGUGCAGCUCCUCAGGUACUAUAUCCAGUACAGCAGAAGCCCCUGGUGCAGCUCCUCAGGUAUUAUAUCCAGUACAGCAGAAGCCCCUGGUGCAGCUCCUCAG
This is a long non-coding RNA of Bufo bufo (common toad), 263 nucleotides long. RefSeq lists it as uncharacterized. NCBI's taxonomy places the organism in Eukaryota, Metazoa, Chordata, Amphibia, Anura, Bufonidae. The transcript has 2 exons. The record is from RefSeq and is a predicted model, not a curated record.